Molecule: non-coding RNA, 416 nt
Organism: Paramuricea clavata
Lineage: Eukaryota; Metazoa; Cnidaria; Anthozoa; Malacalcyonacea; Plexauridae
Source: the annotation of a GenBank genome assembly
AUAAAAUAAUACAAGAUUGAAGCUAACUUCUUUAAAAUUUUCAAUACUCCCGAAAAAAUAGCAAAUGUCUUCAAAGAAAUUUAAUAAGCCGUUUUAGUCGAUUUUUUCGCCAAUUUUCAAACCGAACUUUGGCUAAAAACAUUUAUAUCUCGCCCAAUAUGAAAUGAAAGAUCUAGCACUGUAUACCAAAAUUUAGGUUAGCAUUUUCUUAAUACUAUAAACUUAUUUUAAAGCCAUACCUGGUAUAGUUUUUACAUUAUGUUAAAUCAAACAUCGAUACUUUUUUUGAGACACACGGUAUAUCACUAUCAUUAUUGCAAUAUAUACUUGGUGACGGUGUCUUAAGGUUACAGGACACCCUUUUUGGCGUUUUGCGGAAAAUCGCUACUGCGCGCUCAAUAUAUAUUUAAUUUAUU